Molecule: ribosomal RNA, 763 nt
Filed under: Damburneya ambigens
Lineage: Eukaryota; Viridiplantae; Streptophyta; Magnoliopsida; Laurales; Lauraceae
Description: eukaryotic LSU rRNA
Rfam family: 5.8S ribosomal RNA (bases 293-448)
Source: RNAcentral
AAGGAGAAGUCGUAACAAGGUUUCCGUAGGUGAACCUGCGGAAGGAUCAUUGCCGUCUCUAGAACCACCACCGGCGAACCACAGUCCCCGCGGAAAGGCCGCUCGCGGCGCGCGGACCCGGGGAGGACCCGGGGACGCGCGUCCCGGCGAGCUCCGAACAACCCUCUGGGCGCGGCGAGCGCCAAGGAAUCGAAGCGGAAAGGGCGGCCGCCUCGCCCGGCGCGGGCACGCCCCGAAAGGGGAUGCGGCGCCGCGGCGGGGGAUCCGCCGCCCGUCUGUGAAUCUCUGAGACGACUCUCGGCAACGGAUAUCUCGGCUCUCGCAUCGAUGAAGAACGUAGCGAAAUGCGAUACUUGGUGUGAAUUGCAGAAUCCCGUGAACCAUCGAGUCUUUGAACGCAAGUUGCGCCCGAGGCCGCUCGGCCGAGGGCACGCCUGCCUGGGCGUCACGCCACCCAUCGCCCCCCCCGCGGCAUUCCCAUGCACGGCCGGGGAGCGGAGACUGGCCGUCCGUGCCCGAGCCCUCGGCGCGCGGUCGGCAGAAAAGGAGGGCACCGUGCGGCGCGACACGGCGUGUGGGGGUUGAGAGGCGAUUCGUCGCCGACCGUACGUCGCGCCCGCAUUCCGCCGCGCGGCCUCGCCCGUGGGACCGGACUUCGCCCGCAGCCGCGGGCGCUCGGACCGCGACCCCAGGUCAGGCGUGGCCACCCGCUGAAUUUAAGCAUAUCAAUAAGCGGAGGAGAAGAAACUUACGAGGAUUCCCC